UACGGAGGGUGCAAGCGUUAUCCGGAUUCACUGGGUUUAAAGGGUGCGUAGGUGGGCUAGUAAGUCCGUGGUGAAAUCUCCAAGCUUAACUUGGAAACUGCCGUGGAUACUAUUAGUCUUGAAUAUUGUGGAGGUAAGCGGAAUAUGUCAUGUAGCGGUGAAAUGCUUAGAUAUGGCAUAGAACACCGAUAGCGAAGGCAGCUUGCUACACAAUUAUUGACACUGAGGCACGAAAGCGUGGGGAUCAAACAGG
RNAcentral lists this ribosomal RNA (253 nucleotides) under uncultured bacterium. RNAcentral's name for it is "partial 16S ribosomal RNA". It matches the Rfam family "Bacterial small subunit ribosomal RNA", at positions 524 to 776 of the family's 1533-position model. The record is from RNAcentral.